AUGCAUACUAAUGUAUUAUGGUCUGCUGAAGAAUUUAACAGCUCAUUUAGACAAUGUAACAGAAGGGAUAUGGUGUAUUAAAGCAUUAUGCACUUGACAAAACCAAAAUAAGGAACAGUAUUGUUAUUACAACUCUUAAUUUCAAAGUACAUACAUGAAAUACUUGCCACUGGAUGUUGACCAAGCAACAAAGAAUCAAUCAUUUCAAAGAUGCAGUGAGGCCUUCAACAUGGAGCUAACACCUCAAUGCAAACUCCUAGCACUUGGUUGAGGGAAAUAUUUGCUAAAUAUGGAUCACACAACAACUGAUUAACAAAAUAUAUGGCCUCGGUGGUCUCCUGGUAGUAAAAUGGUAUUGUGCUAGCUUGACAUCAAACCAGAGACUUAAUAGGUAUUUGGUGCUCCUUCUCUUGAGGGCGGGGCAUUUAUGAGUAAGAACAAAGACUGGUCAGCUUGGAGUAAGAAUAAUGUGUCUUCCUGCUGACAGUUAUCUUGUGAGCUAGCACGUUUAAAAUUUGGUCUAGUACAAAGCAGGGUUUAUAUUCAUAUCACAUUAACAUGCUUGUCCUAAACAUGCAUUUAAUUUGCAAUUGGAGGUUAAACAUUCCAUCACAUUAACAAUAUACAGACUUUAUAGGUAAAUGCAUACAUGUACUGUCAUAAGCAUAUGCCAUUGUAAAAUUUAAAAACAAUACAGACAUCUCAAUAGUUACACAAUUUUGAUAAAAUGAUUUCAAGUCAAAUUUCUGUAAACCAAACAUGUCAGUCAUAAUAAAUUAUAUAAUUUUUAUUCUAGAUUUUCUUAUAGUUAACUGUGAGAUGAAUUUCUUCAAAUUGAAGCUGUUGGGCAUUUCAAAUCUAGGAUCUAUGACAAGUGUGAUGAUUUCAGUUUUCAUGUUGUCAACAUCUCGUUCUUGAGUUGAUCUGAGGACUUUGGAACUUAAGAUUGUAUAAUACUAGAUUGAUGCUGUAUUAACUAUCACACAAUUUUUAACUUUUGGAGAAGGUUUCUGGCAGAAUAUUCUGUAAAAAUUAAUGAUGUACAGCUAAUCACUGUUAUGAAUUAAACUUGGGAGAAAUACUCAAGGAGAAAUAUGCCAUGGGAACAGCUUUGAACAAAAACAAGAUUGAAGUGCUUCUGAUCCAGGAUGUGAUGAAAUCUUGUCAGAAAGUAAUCAGACGACUAAGGACUAAAAAACAUCUCCUGUAAACUUAAAGAUGAACUCAUAGAUACAACUGUGCAGAUUAAAAUGUAGAACUUGAAAAAAAAAACUUAGCUGAAAGAACUCAAGAAUCAUUCAACAAAAAAACUCCACUGAUGAAUUUUUAACCAACUCAACUGAUGAAUUUACAGAUAUCUCUACUGAUGAACUUGGCAUGUAAAUUUAAAACUGAACUGAUAAGAUAAGGACAUACUUAACCAUUGAACAACAGAGUGAAAACCUUAAUUUAUCUUCAAUUUUUAAAAAUUAUGAUGGUGAUGGUAAGAGAGAGAGAGGGGGAGGGAAAGAACAAACAUUGUGCAGGUGAAUUCCUAUUCCACCAAAUGUUUGGCUUAUGUUAUUAAAAAAAAAUAAAAAAUCCAUUAAAAAAAAGAGUAAUUAUUAAAAUCUUGUACCUUCUAUAUGAUAAAGCCUUAGUGUUUGGUUGAAUGUCUUUAGCCUGAAGAGAGAGAGAGAGAGCACCUUUUGUAUUUAUUUUGAUAUUUUUUGUGGUGUAUUUAAAAAUAGAUAAUUAGGAUAGAGUAUAGUAAACUCCUUUUUAGCUCACCUGGCCCGAAGGGCCAAGUGAGCUUUUCUCAUCACUUGGCGUCCGUUGUCCGUCGUCUUUAGCUUUUUACAAAAAUCUUCUCCUCUGAAACCACUGGGCCAAAUUUAACCAAACUUAGCCACAAUCAUCAUUAGGGUAUCUAGUUUAAAAAAUGUGUCCGAUGACCCCGCCAACUAACCAAGAUGGCCGCCAUGGCUAAAAAUAGAACAUAGGGGUAAAAUGUAGAUUUUGGCUUAUAUCUCUGAAACCAAAGCAUUUAGAGUAAAUCUGACAUAGGGUAAAACUGAUUAUCAGGUCAAGAUCUAUCUGCCCUGAAAUUUUCAGACAAAUCUGACAACCUGUUGUUGGGUUGCUGCCCCUGAAUUGGUAAUUUUAAGGAAAUUUUACAGUUUUUUGUUAUUAUCUUGAAUAUUAUUAUAGAUAGAGAUAAACUGUAAACAGCAAUAAUGUUCAGCAAAGUAAGAUCUACAAAUAAGUUUUCAUGACCAAAAUUGUCA
Molecule: long non-coding RNA, 2267 nt
Organism: Mytilus californianus (California mussel)
Lineage: Eukaryota; Metazoa; Mollusca; Bivalvia; Mytilida; Mytilidae
Exons: 4
Source: RefSeq, a predicted model, not a curated record